RNAcentral lists this long non-coding RNA (1662 nucleotides) under Anthonomus grandis grandis. RNAcentral describes it as "uncharacterized LOC126737036". The record is from RNAcentral. Lineage: Eukaryota; Metazoa; Arthropoda; Insecta; Coleoptera; Curculionidae.
ACUUACUUCAACAGUUCUGGAUAAAUGUUUGCAACAAGAAUACCAAUUAUGGUAUUGACCUCCUAAGUCAAAUAACGAUAAUUUUUCUGUAUGCAAAGCAUUAUAAGAAUAUUGCCAACUUAACGUAAAAUUUUAUUGAUGGGAUAUUUUUGGAGUGUUAUGGUUUAACCCAAAUAAUUGGAGAGGCUACAAGGGUAGUUGAUUUUUUUGGAUAUCUGAACUUCCACCAACUGCCUGGAAAAAAAUAUGUGCAUAUUAAUCUCACAAUUCACUGAACCCAAAGAUGGAUAGAACUCAAGAAAAUCGAAAAAAUGAAUAUGGAACAAAUCCGUUCGAAUAUAUACCGGCCUGGCCAAUGAAGUUUUUGGGUGCGAAAAUCAAUCAACCAGAGACUCGCACGAGAGAGACAGAGAGAUAGACAUGCACAAGAGAGAGAGAGAGGGGAAGAGAUUCGCACGAGACAGAAAGCCAGAGAUUCGGACUAGAGAGACAGAGACAUGCACGAGAGAGAGAAGAAGUCAAGGUCAAGGCAAGUCAAGAGUCACGGACAUGCCAAGGUAACGUGGAACGAGAAAAAGAGUCAGACAUGCACGUCAUGUGAAGUCAAGGUCACAUGGCACGAGGCAGACAUGCACAAGAGAAAGUCAAGAAUAUGCCAAAAACACGUCGAACCAAAAAGAGAGAGAGAGGCAGAGACUCGCAUGAGAAAGAAAGAGGCUCGCACUAGAGAGAACCGGUAAGACUUACACGAGAGAGACAGAAGCAGACAUGCAUGAGAGAGAGAAAAAAAUGUCAGCAAAGUAAAAUGAAGGUCACGUCGCACGAGAGAGAGAGAGAAAGGGAGACAUGCACGAGAGAGUCAAGACUGAAGGUCAUGUCAAGGUGUUACUUGCCCGUUUAUUUGCCUGUUUCAAAGCCGUUUUUUCUAACAUUCAGAGUCAUUCCAGUUAAUUGAAAUACUUGAAGUCUAGAGACAGACAUGCACGAGAGAGGGUCAAGUCAAGAUGACGUCAAGGUCACGUCGCACGAGAGAGACAGAGGCACACAUGCACGAGAGAAAGUCAAGGACAUCUCAGGAUCACCUCGAACGAGAGAGAAGCAGAGACUCGCACGAGAGAAAGCGGCAGAGACUCAUACGAGAGAGACAGAAGAAGACAUGCACGAGAAAGAGAGAAAAAGUCAAGGUCACGUCGCACGACAUCCAGAGACAGAGACAUGCACGAGAGAGAGAGGGUCAAAGUCAAGUCAAGGUUAAGUUAAACAAGGUCAAGGCCACAUAGCACGAUAGAGACAGACGAAUGAGAGUCAAGGACAAGCCCAAGUAACGUCGAACGAGAAGGAGAGGCAGAGACUCGCACGAAAUAGACAGAGCCAGACAAGCACGUCAUGUGAAGUCAAGGUCACGUCGUACGAGAAAGACAGAAGCAGACAUGCCCAAGAGCGAGUCAAGAAUAUGCCAAGAUCACGUCGAACCAAAAAGAGAGAGAAAGAAAAAGACUCGCACUAGAAACACCGACAAGACUCACAGUAGAGAGACAAAAGCAGACAUGUAUGAGAGAGAGAGAGAGAGAAAGAAAGUCAACGUAGUAAAAUGAAGGUCACGUCGAACGAUAGAGAGAGACAGAGAGGCAGACAUGCACCAGAGAGUCAAGACUGAAGGUC